RNAcentral lists this long non-coding RNA (258 nucleotides) under Carica papaya (papaya). RNAcentral's name for it is "long non-coding RNA (CPAP_LNC014262)". Lineage: Eukaryota; Viridiplantae; Streptophyta; Magnoliopsida; Brassicales; Caricaceae. The record is from RNAcentral.
UAUUUUUUGCACAUUCAAUUAAAGUCCAUCACGUAAUAAAAGUGUCAUUAUGAGUAUCUUAGAUAGUAGAACAAAGAAAAAUGAGGUACGGCGAGCGAUCUGUUCAUAUGGGCAUGAGUCAAGGCACUGGGGGAUUUUUCUUGAUAUUAGAACUAGAAGCAGAAGUGAGGUGCGCGCACGGGAAAAUAAAUGACGAGAAGGGAGAGGGAAGGAGAAGGGCUAUAUGUAUUUACGGUGCAAACUAGAAUGUGUGCGAAC